CAUUACACAAAUAUGAAGGCGGGCUGGAACCUCUCGGGGUUACAGCCUUGCUGAAUUAUUCACCCUUGUCUUUUGCGUACUUCUUGUUUCCUUGGUGGGUUCGCCCACCACUAGGACAAACAUAAACCUUUUGUAAUUGCAAUCAGCGUCAGUAACAAAUUAAUAAUUACAACUUUCAACAACGGAUCUCUUGGUUCUGGCAUCGAUGAAGAACGCAGCGAAAUGCGAUAAGUAGUGUGAAUUGCAGAAUUCAGUGAAUCAUCGAAUCUUUGAACGCACAUUGCGCCCUUUGGUAUUCCAAAGGGCAUGCCUGUUCGAGCGUCAUUUGUACCCUCAAGCUUUGCUUGGUGUUGGGCGUCUUGUCUCUAGCUUUGCUGGAGACUCGCCUUAAAGUAAUUGGCAGCCGGCCUACUGGUUUCGGAGCGCAGCACAAGUCGCACUCUCUAUCAGCAAAGGUCUAGCAUCCAUUAAGCCUUUUUUUCAACUUUUGACCUCGGAUCAGGUAGGGAUACCCGCUGAACUUAAGCAUAU
This 531-nucleotide ribosomal RNA is filed under the name fungal sp. CSE28. Its description in RNAcentral is "eukaryotic LSU rRNA". The stretch from base 171 to 324 matches the Rfam family "5.8S ribosomal RNA". The record is from RNAcentral. Lineage: Eukaryota; Fungi.